GACGAACGCUGGCGGCGUGCUUAACACAUGCAAGUCGAACGGAAAGGCCCUGCUCUUGUGGGGUGCUCGAGUGGCGCACGGGUGAGUAACACGCGAGUAACCUGCCCUUGACUUUGGGAUAACUUCAGGAAACUGGGGCUCAUACAGGAUAGGAGCUCCUGCUGCACGGUGGGGGUUGGUAAGUUUCGGCGGUUGGGGAUGGACUCGCGGCUUAUCAGCUUGUUGGUGGGGUAGUGGCUUACCAAGGCUUUGACGGGUAGCCGGCCUGGGAGGGUGACCGGCGACAUGGGGACUGAGAGACGGCCCAGACGCCUACGGGAGGCAGCAGUGGAAAAUAUUGCACAAUGGGCGGAAGCCAGAUGCAGCAACGCCGCGUGCGGGAAAACGUCCUUCGGGUUGUAAACCGCUGUCGCCGGUGACGAAGCGUGAGUGACGGUAAUGGGUAAAGAAGCACCGGCUAACUACGUG
This 468-nucleotide ribosomal RNA is filed under the name uncultured bacterium. RNAcentral describes it as "partial 16S ribosomal RNA". It matches the Rfam family "Bacterial small subunit ribosomal RNA", at positions 28 to 507 of the family's 1533-position model. The record is from RNAcentral.